GACGAACGCUGGCGGCGCGCCUAACACAUGCAAGUCGAACGAGCGAGAGAGAGCUUGCUUUCUCGAGCGAGUGGCGAACGGGCGAGUAACGCGUGAGGAACCUGCCUCAAAGAGGGGGACAACAGUUGGAAACGACUGCUAAUACCGCAUAAGCCCACGGUGCCGCAUGGCACAGAGGGAAAAGGAGUAAUCCGCUUUGAGAUGGCCUCGCGUCCGAUUAGCUAGUUGGUGAGGUAACGGCCCACCAAGGCGACGAUCGGUAGCCGGACUGAGAGGUUGAACGGCCACAUUGGGACUGAGACACGGCCCAGACUCCUACGGGAGGCAGCAGUGGGGAAUAUUGCACAAUGGGGGAAACCCUGAUGCAGCGACGCCGCGUGGAGGAAGAAGGUCUUCGGAUUGUAAACUCCUGUUGUUGAGGAAGAUAAUGACGGUACUCAACAAGGAAGUGACGGCUAACUACGUG
RNAcentral lists this ribosomal RNA (466 nucleotides) under uncultured bacterium. RNAcentral describes it as "bacterial SSU rRNA". It matches the Rfam family "Bacterial small subunit ribosomal RNA", at positions 28 to 507 of the family's 1533-position model. The record is from RNAcentral.